GACAGAGGGUGCAAACGUUGUUCGGAAUUACUGGGCGUAAAGCGUGUGUAGGCGGUCUUGUAAGUCGGAUGUGAAAGCCCCGGGCUCAACCCGGGAAGUGCACUCGAUACUGCGAGACUUGAGUAUCGGAGAGGUUGGUGGAAUUCUCGGUGUAGAGGUGAAAUUCGUAGAUAUCGAGAGGAACACCGGUGGCGAAAGCGGCCAACUGGACGAAUACUGACGCUGAGACACGAAAGCGUGGGGAGCAAACAGG
Molecule: ribosomal RNA, 253 nt
Filed under: uncultured bacterium
Lineage: Bacteria
Description: partial 16S ribosomal RNA
Rfam family: Bacterial small subunit ribosomal RNA
Source: RNAcentral